UACGAAGGGGGCUAGCGUUGCUCGGAAUCACUGGGCGUAAAGCGCACGUAGGCGGCUUUUUAAGUCAGAGGUGAAAUCCUGGAGCUCAACUCCAGAACUGCCUUUGAUACUGGAGAGCUUGGGUCCGGGAGAGGUGAGUGGAACUGCGAGUGUAGAGGUGAAAUUCGUAGAUAUUCGCAAGAACACCAGUGGCGAAGGCGGCUCACUGGCCCGGUACUGACGCUGAGGUGCGAAAGCGUGGGGAGCAAACAGG
RNAcentral lists this ribosomal RNA (253 nucleotides) under uncultured bacterium. RNAcentral describes it as "partial 16S ribosomal RNA". It matches the Rfam family "Bacterial small subunit ribosomal RNA", at positions 524 to 776 of the family's 1533-position model. The record is from RNAcentral.